This 1322-nucleotide ribosomal RNA is filed under the name Paenarthrobacter sp. Its description in RNAcentral is "bacterial SSU rRNA". It matches the Rfam family "Bacterial small subunit ribosomal RNA", at positions 98 to 1431 of the family's 1533-position model. Lineage: Bacteria; Bacillati; Actinomycetota; Actinomycetes; Micrococcales; Micrococcaceae. The record is from RNAcentral.
GCGAACGGGUGAGUAACACGUGAGUAACCUGCCCUUGACUCUGGGAUAAGCCUGGGAAACUGGGUCUAAUACCGGAUACGACCAUCUGACGCAUGUCAUGGUGGUGGAAAGCUUUUGUGGUUUUGGAUGGACUCGCGGCCUAUCAGCUUGUUGGUGGGGUAAUGGCCUACCAAGGCGACGACGGGUAGCCGGCCUGAGAGGGUGACCGGCCACACUGGGACUGAGACACGGCCCAGACUCCUACGGGAGGCAGCAGUGGGGAAUAUUGCACAAUGGGCGCAAGCCUGAUGCAGCGACGCCGCGUGAGGGAUGACGGCCUUCGGGUUGUAAACCUCUUUCAGUAGGGAAGAAGCGAAAGUGACGGUACCUGCAGAAGAAGCGCCGGCUAACUACGUGCCAGCAGCCGCGGUAAUACGUAGGGCGCAAGCGUUAUCCGGAAUUAUUGGGCGUAAAGAGCUCGUAGGCGGUUUGUCGCGUCUGCUGUGAAAGACCGGGGCUCAACUCCGGUUCUGCAGUGGGUACGGGCAGACUAGAGUGCAGUAGGGGAGACUGGAAUUCCUGGUGUAGCGGUGAAAUGCGCAGAUAUCAGGAGGAACACCGAUGGCGAAGGCAGGUCUCUGGGCUGUAACUGACGCUGAGGAGCGAAAGCAUGGGGAGCGAACAGGAUUAGAUACCCUGGUAGUCCAUGCCGUAAACGUUGGGCACUAGGUGUGGGGGACAUUCCACGUUUUCCGCGCCGUAGCUAACGCAUUAAGUGCCCCGCCUGGGGAGUACGGCCGCAAGGCUAAAACUCAAAGGAAUUGACGGGGGCCCGCACAAGCGGCGGAGCAUGCGGAUUAAUUCGAUGCAACGCGAAGAACCUUACCAAGGCUUGACAUGAACCGGAAAGACCUGGAAACAGGUGCCCCGCUUGCGGUCGGUUUACAGGUGGUGCAUGGUUGUCGUCAGCUCGUGUCGUGAGAUGUUGGGUUAAGUCCCGCAACGAGCGCAACCCUCGUUCUAUGUUGCCAGCGCGUUAUGGCGGGGACUCAUAGGAGACUGCCGGGGUCAACUCGGAGGAAGGUGGGGACGACGUCAAAUCAUCAUGCCCCUUAUGUCUUGGGCUUCACGCAUGCUACAAUGGCCGGUACAAAGGGUUGCGAUACUGUGAGGUGGAGCUAAUCCCAAAAAGCCGGUCUCAGUUCGGAUUGGGGUCUGCAACUCGACCCCAUGAAGUCGGAGUCGCUAGUAAUCGCAGAUCAGCAACGCUGCGGUGAAUACGUUCCCGGGCCUUGUACACACCGCCCGUCAAGUCACGAAAGUUGGUAACACCCGAAGCCGGU